RNAcentral lists this ribosomal RNA (1017 nucleotides) under uncultured bacterium. RNAcentral describes it as "bacterial SSU rRNA". It matches the Rfam family "Bacterial small subunit ribosomal RNA", at positions 355 to 1375 of the family's 1533-position model. The record is from RNAcentral.
UGAGGAAUAUUGGUCAAUGGGCGCGAGCCUGAACCAGCCAAGUAGCGUGAAGGAUGAAGGUCCUACGGAUUGUAAACUUCUUUUAUAAGGGAAUAAAGUCACCCACGUGUGGGUGUUUGUAUGUACCUUAUGAAUAAGCAUCGGCUAACUCCGUGCCAGCAGCCGCGGUAAUACGGAGGAUGCGAGCGUUAUCCGGAUUUAUUGGGUUUAAAGGGAGCGUAGACGGGCCGUUAAGUCAGCUGUGAAAGUUUGAGGCUCAACCUUAAAAUUGCAGUUGAUACUGGCGCCCUUGAGUACCGUUGAGGCAGGCGGAAUUCGUGGUGUAGCGGUGAAAUGCUUAGAUAUCACGAAGAACCCCAAUUGCGAAGGCAGCCUGCUAAACCGCCACUGACGUUGAGGCUCGAAAGUGUGGGUAUCAAACAGGAUUAGAUACCCUGGUAGUCCACACGGUAAACGAUGGAUACUCGCUGUUGGCGAUAGACUGUCAGCGGCUUAGCGAAAGCGUUAAGUAUCCCACCUGGGGAGUACGCCGGCAACGGUGAAACUCAAAGGAAUUGACGGGGGCCCGCACAAGCGGAGGAACAUGUGGUUUAAUUCGAUGAUACGCGAGGAACCUUACCCGGGCUUGAAUUGCAGACGAAUUGCUUGGAAACAGGCAAGCCGCAAGGCGUCUGUGAAGGUGCUGCAUGGUUGUCGUCAGCUCGUGCCGUGAGGUGUCGGCUUAAGUGCCAUAACGAGCGCAACCCUCGUGUCCAGUUACUAGCAGGUUAUGCUGAGGACUCUGGACAGACUGCCAUCGUAAGAUGUGAGGAAGGUGGGGAUGACGUCAAAUCAGCACGGCCCUUACGUCCGGGGCUACACACGUGUUACAAUGGGGGGUACAGCAGGCAGCUACCGGGCGACCGGAUGCCAAUCCCGAAAGCCUCUCUCAGUUCGGACUGGAGUCUGCAACCCGACUCCACGAAGCUGGAUUCGCUAGUAAUCGCGCAUCAGCCACGGCGCGGCGAAUACGUUCCC